GGAAUAAUGAGGGCCGGAAUGCUGUGAUCCAGGCGGCCGAAAAGAACAACUUAGACAUGCUUCGGUUCACGAUCCAGUCUGGCGGAAGUCUAAACGCAAAAACAACAAAACAAGGAGACACGGCUCUCAUGUUGGCUACGUCGCGCGGGUACCUU
This 155-nucleotide long non-coding RNA is filed under the name Penaeus japonicus. RNAcentral describes it as "uncharacterized LOC122248440". The record is from RNAcentral. Lineage: Eukaryota; Metazoa; Arthropoda; Malacostraca; Decapoda; Penaeidae.